GAUGAACGCUGACAGAAUGCUUAACACAUGCAGGUCGAUGGGGAAGUGGUGCUUGCACCAUGGCAACCAUGGCGGACGGGUGAGUAACGCGUAAGGGACUUACCUGCAGGACUGGGAUAACAGGGGGAAACUCCUGACAAGACCGGAUAAUGUCAUGGAGCUGCAUGGCUUUAUGAUGAAAGGAGACGCCUGCGGAGAGCCUUGCGUCCUAUUAGCUAGUUGGUGAGGUAAUGGCUCACCAAGGCGAAGAUAGGUAGCCGGCCUGAGAGGGUGGACGGCCACAAGGGGACUGAGAUACGGCCCUUACUCCUACGGGAGGCAGCAGUGGGGAAUAUUGGACAAUGGGGGCAACCCUGAUCCAGCAAUUCUGUGUGCACGAAGAAGGUUUUCGGAGUGUAAAGUGCUUUCAGCAGGGAAGAAGUAAGUGACGGUACCUGCAGAAGAAGCGACGGCUAAAUACGUG
This 463-nucleotide ribosomal RNA is filed under the name uncultured bacterium. Its description in RNAcentral is "partial 16S ribosomal RNA". It matches the Rfam family "Bacterial small subunit ribosomal RNA", at positions 28 to 507 of the family's 1533-position model. The record is from RNAcentral.